This 57-nucleotide transfer RNA is filed under the name Perkinsus marinus. Its description in RNAcentral is "partial tRNA". It matches the Rfam family "tRNA", at positions 8 to 59 of the family's 71-position model. From Rfam's summary of the family: Transfer RNA (tRNA) molecules are approximately 80 nucleotides in length. Their secondary structure includes four short double-helical elements and three loops (D, anti-codon, and T loops). Lineage: Eukaryota; Perkinsozoa; Perkinsida; Perkinsidae. The record is from RNAcentral.
AUUAGUUCAGCUGGAUAGAAUGUCUGCCUACGGAGCAGAUGGUCGUAGGUUCGAAUC